GUUCUCGUAAAAGUGGUGUUUUGCUCUUUUAGUUGGAUUGAUUGCUAUUACGUGGCACAUGGUUCGCCUACUCUAUGUUAUAGGGUGCGUGUUGAAUUCUUUCUUCACACACAGGUGUAGGGGGAUUGAUAGAAAUUUUGUCAAGUAAUGAAAUAAUUGUUGCACAUGGGUUUUGUGUAUUAGUUUGAACAUGUGAGGUGAGGUAGAAGGUGGGGUUGCUGUGAUUUGUCUGCUAGGAAGAGUGUGAUAUAUUUGUAGUGUGAAGGGGCAUAUAUAAUUCUUUUCUCUUUAGCUAUGGUAAGUAAAGGUCCACUGGCCACAUGGCUGGAGUGGGAGUGGGAGUGGGAGAUGAACAAAAACAAAAAGGUCGAUUCCUCCCUAUGUAUUACACCUCUUUGGUGAUGCUACUGUUAUUCUCAGUUUACACUCACU
RNAcentral lists this unclassified non-coding RNA (432 nucleotides) under Hevea brasiliensis (rubber tree). The record is from RNAcentral. Lineage: Eukaryota; Viridiplantae; Streptophyta; Magnoliopsida; Malpighiales; Euphorbiaceae.